This 246-nucleotide non-coding RNA is filed under the name Pan troglodytes (chimpanzee). Lineage: Eukaryota; Metazoa; Chordata; Mammalia; Primates; Hominidae. RNAcentral also lists the same sequence under 1 other name. The record is from RNAcentral.
CUCUCUGGAGGAAAUAUACAAUCAGAUGAGGUAGUUCUGCUUUCAGUAAUAAUAUGAUUUACAUUUCUAUAGGAGGAUAGUGAAUGAUACCUACAGAACGGAUCUUUGCCUACUGUAUCCUCCUUUCAUGAUAGCUUUAGCUUGCCUACAUGUAGCCUGUGUUGUACAGCAGAAAGAUGCCAGGCAAUGGUUUGCUGAGCUUUCUGUGGAUAUGGAAAAGAUUUUGGAAAUAAUCAGGGUUAUUUU